GAGUUUGAUCCUGGCUCAGGACGAACGCUGGCGGCGUGCUUAACACAUGCAAGUGGAGCGACGAACCAGGCUUCGGCCUGGGGCAAAGCCGCGAACGGGUGAGUAACACGUGGGUAACCUGCCCCGAUGAUUGGGACAACCCGAGGAAACUCGGGCUAAUACCGAAUGUGCCCUCUGGCCACAAGGCCGCUGGGGAAAGGAAGCUUCGGCCUCCGCAUCGGGAUGGGCCCGCGGCCCAUUAGCUUGUUGGUGAGGUAACGGCUCACCAAGGCUACGAUGGGUAGCUGGUCUGAGAGGACGAUCAGCCACACUGGGACUGAGACACGGCCCAGACUCCUACGGGAGGCAGCAGUGGGGAAUAUUGGACAAUGGGCGCAAGCCUGAUCCAGCAAUGCCGCGUGGGUGAUGAAGGCCCUAGGGUUGUAAAGCCCUUUCAGCGGGGAAGAUAAUGACGGUACCCGCAGAAGAAGCCCCGGC
Molecule: ribosomal RNA, 477 nt
Filed under: Actinomycetales
Lineage: Bacteria; Bacillati; Actinomycetota; Actinomycetes
Description: bacterial SSU rRNA
Rfam family: Bacterial small subunit ribosomal RNA
Source: RNAcentral